RNAcentral lists this ribosomal RNA (379 nucleotides) under uncultured organism. RNAcentral describes it as "partial 16S ribosomal RNA". It matches the Rfam family "Bacterial small subunit ribosomal RNA", at positions 527 to 897 of the family's 1533-position model. The record is from RNAcentral.
GUAGGUGGCAAGCGUUGUCCGGAAUUAUUGGGCGUAAAGCGCGCGCAGGCGGUUCUUUAAGUCUGAUGUGAAAGCCCACGGCUCAACCGUGGAGGGUCAUUGGAAACUGGAGAACUUGAGUACAGAAGAGGAAAGCGGAAUUCCACGUGUAGCGGUGAAAUGCGCAGAGAUGUGGAGGAACACCAGUGGCGAAGGCGGCUUUCUGGUCUGUAACUGACGCUGAGGCGCGAAAGCGUGGGGGGAGCAAACAGGAUUAGAUACCCUGGUAGUCCACGCCGUAAACGAUGAGUGCUAAGUGUUAGGGGGUUUCCGCCCCCCCCUUAGUGCUGCAGCUAACGCAUUAAGCACUCCCGCCUGGGGAGUACGGCCGCAAGGCUGA